Ursus maritimus (polar bear) is the source of this 2052-nucleotide long non-coding RNA. The record is from Ensembl. NCBI's taxonomy places the organism in Eukaryota, Metazoa, Chordata, Mammalia, Carnivora, Ursidae.
AAAUUCUGGGCCCCGGGCCACAGGGUUCCAGGGCUUUUAUAGGGCCCUGCAGACAGUCAGCUUCCAAGGGCUACACUGACUGCUGGUCAGUGGGCUUAAACUAGGGGACUGGGGGCUGCUUUAGGUGGGAACGGUAGUGCGGGGAGCUUGUUCCCAGAAGCCUGUUUACAGAAGCAGAAAUGGCUGAUUAUCUCUUGCUCCCAGGAAGGCUUCUGGUUAUCUCUAGCUUAUUGUUAGUGACUUUCCAUUUUGUGGGGCCUCCUGGCCUGGGACUGCUCAGGGUCAUUUUCCUCUUCAAGAAGGGAAGUUCACUAUACUCUCUGUGUGUGUGUGUGUGUGUGUGUGUGUGUGUGUUUUAAGCAAGAGUCAAGGCACUUAUCCAUUUCUGAGAAAUCAGGAGGUUUCAGUCUGGGCUCACACCAUAUUCAGGAAAGCCAUCUAAGGAUAAGAAAUCACAUGGUGGUGUGCCCCACCCCCGAGAGGCAGGCAGGAAGCCUGGGGCUCCCCGCAGCCAGCCUGUUCAUUCUGGGGUGGAAGUGCAGCCCUGUGCCUCAGCUCCCACUGACGAGCCCUCCCAGCCGGGGUGGUAAAGCCCUAUACUCAGGCCUGUGGCUCUGCCCUGCCUUCUGCUCCCCGGGCCUGCACACGCAAUGGGACCCGUCAUCCCACCGCUGCUGCUGCUGUCACCGAUUGUGUUGCUCAUCACCUGUUACAUGCUGGGAUACCUGCAGAGAAGUCGAGCGUCUGGGCAUCAUGGAGGACCUAUGCGACAGGCUGCAGGAUAUUUCCAGAGUGUAAGAUGGAAUGCUAAUGUGUAUUUCAAUGCCCAAAUGGAUAUCAGUGAAGUUGAGGUUUCCAUGGGUGGGCAAAGUGCCAUCCACACUGAAGGGAACCAACAGAGCUUUCUGAGGACAGACCAUGAAGAUGACAGUCUCCCAUAUGGACACCAGGACCGUGGGGACCUCUCCGUGCCUGUCUUGAGACCAAGGGCUCAGAUUCGUGAAUCCCCCAGUGACACUGUGAACAAUUGUAGAGAGUUAGCCCGUCUUUGACCUGCUCAGUCAUUCAUUGAGCCCUUUUCUCUGCUCCUGUAGCCUCGAAGGAUGGGGCCACCUUGCCCCUGUUCAAACCCUAAAGCCUGGUCCUAUUCAGCUCUGGGUAUUGACAUUUCCACAGCUUCCCCCACCAGAUCAAGGCUUUCUGUUUCCCAUCGCCCUUGGUGCUCUUUUUCUCAGAUUCCUGUCUCCUCCCUUUCUCUCUCUGUACCUCCAUCCCUCCCUUAGCCUUUUUCAUCUCCCUGUGAAUUGCUUUCUUUCCCUUUGAAGUCCUAGACUCCUAGCCCUUCUCCUUAGUUCAGAUUAGCAUAAAUGCCUCAUUCUGCCCAUCUGUCCUUGGAAUCUCACGUUUAUGCAAAUCCCCCAUAUGUACAUUAGUAAAUUUGAUUUUUUCCCUGAUAAUCUGUCUCCUGUCAAUUUAAUUCUUAGGCCACGUAUAAGAAUCUUGAAGCGUAUAGAAAAUUUUUUCCUCCCCACCAAUGUAUUUCGGAGAAGGGGUUCUGUCAUGUGAAAUAUUUAUGAUUAGCAAAAUGAGUGGGUAGUUCUUACAAGAAUGAGAAGACCAGCUACAUGAGCUAUGUGUGUCGCUGGCAGGAUGUGUGAGGGCUGAGGUGGGGACAGCCAGGGCAGCCACUCUCCCCAGGCUCACAGGGCGGGGCAUGACCUUGAGAUUGCAAAUGAAGCUGGUAGCUGGCAAGCUUUCCCUAAUGUUCCCACACAGACUUCCCAUAUCUCUGAAAGGCCACCCUGCACUGGUUCCAGGAGCUCCCAGAAGACCAGGGGCUCUGCCCUGCCUUGUGCUCUCACUGAAGAUGAGAGACAAGCAGGGGAUUCUCCCAGCUCGCUGUUGUUGGUUCAGAAAGCUCCCCUAAAACCUCUUUUCCUUGUAUACAAAAAUCAACUUCAGGACAAAAACCAUUUUGUGGCAGGAAUUCCUCUAGCUGACCUCCUCAACUCUUUUUGUGUUCCCUUUCUCCCCUUCGCAAAAUAGCUCCCA